GAGCGAAGCACAUGAAUACGAUUCUCCGGAUGAGGAUUCUUGUGACUGAGCGGCGGACGGGUGAGUAACGCGUGGGCAACCUGCCUUACACAGGGGGAUAACAGUUAGAAAUGACUGCUAAUACCGCAUAAGACCACAAAACCGCAUGGUUUGGUGGUAAAAACUCCGGUGGUGUAAGAUGGGCCCGCGUCUGAUUAGGUAGUUGGUGGGGUAACGGCCUACCAAGCCGACGAUCAGUAGCCGACCUGAGAGGGUGACCGGCCACAUUGGGACUGAGACACGGCCCAGACUCCUACGGGAGGCAGCAGUGGGGAAUAUUGCACAAUGGGGGAAACCCUGAUGCAGCGACGCCGCGUGAGCGAUGAAGUAUUUCGGUAUGUAAAGCUCUAUCAGCAGGGAAGAAAAUGACGGUACCUGACUAAGAAGCCCCGGCUAACUACGUGCCAGCAGCCGCGGUAAUACGUAGGGGGCAAGCGUUAUCCGGAUUUACUGGGUGUAAAGGGAGCGUAGACGGCUUGGCAAGCCAGAUGUGAAAGGCUGGGGCUCAACCCCAGGACUGCAUUUGGAACUGUCAUGCUAGAGUGUCGGAGAGGCAGGCGGAAUUC
This 605-nucleotide ribosomal RNA is filed under the name uncultured bacterium. RNAcentral describes it as "bacterial SSU rRNA". It matches the Rfam family "Bacterial small subunit ribosomal RNA", at positions 44 to 669 of the family's 1533-position model. The record is from RNAcentral.